UACGACGGGGGCUAGCGUUGUUCGGAAUCACUGGGCGUAAAGCGCGUGUAGGCGGACUGUUAAGUCGGGGGUGAAAUCCCGAGGCUCAACCUCGGAAUUGCCUUCGAUACUGGCAGUCUUUGAGUCCGGGAGAGGUGAGUGGAACUCCUAGUGUAGAGGUGAAAUUCGUAGAUAUUAGGAAGAACACCAGUGGCGAAGGCGGCUCACUGGCCCGGUACUGACGCUGUGGUGCGAAAGCGUGGGGAGCAAACAGG
RNAcentral lists this ribosomal RNA (254 nucleotides) under uncultured bacterium. RNAcentral's name for it is "partial 16S ribosomal RNA". It matches the Rfam family "Bacterial small subunit ribosomal RNA", at positions 524 to 776 of the family's 1533-position model. The record is from RNAcentral.